RNAcentral lists this long non-coding RNA (449 nucleotides) under Bos taurus (domestic cattle). RNAcentral describes it as "long non-coding RNA NONBTAT017704". Lineage: Eukaryota; Metazoa; Chordata; Mammalia; Artiodactyla; Bovidae. The record is from RNAcentral.
AUGUCGCCGAAGGUGAAGAAGGAAGCCCCUGCCCCUCCUAAAGCUGAAGCCAAAGUAAAGGCUUUGAAGACGAAGAAAGCGGUGUUGAAAGGUGUCCACAGCCACAAAAAAAGAUCAUCCGGAUGUCACCCACCUUCCGGCUGCCCGAAACACUGCGGCUCAGGAGGCAGCCCAGCUAUCCUUGGAAGAGCGGCCCUAGGAGAAACAAACUCGACCCCUGUGCCAUCAUCAGAUUCCCCCUUACCACCAAGUCAGCCAUGAAGAAAACAGAACUCACUGUGGACGGCAAUGCCAACAAGCACCAAAUUAAACAGGCUGCGAAGCUCUGUGACACUGACGUGGCUGAGGUCAAUAAUCUGGUCAGGCCUGAGAGGGAGAAGAAGCCCUACGUCCCACUGGCUCCUGGCCAUGAUGCUUCAGACGUUGCUGACAAAAUUGGGAUCAUCUAA